RNAcentral lists this long non-coding RNA (736 nucleotides) under Panax ginseng (ginseng). Its description in RNAcentral is "long non-coding RNA (PGIN_LNC015751)". Lineage: Eukaryota; Viridiplantae; Streptophyta; Magnoliopsida; Apiales; Araliaceae. The record is from RNAcentral.
CCCCCUCUAAAUUAUAGUGAUUAAACAGAUUUGAAUAAUUUCUCCUGCUUUCAGUAGGUGUAGUGAUUACACUGAUGAGAAUAAUCUGCCUUUCUGGUGGAAGGUAGGACAGGCCAAAACUGUAAUAAUUAAAGGCUGGUUUAUGUUAUUUUUUACAAGAUACGAAUUAUCUAGUAGUUUGAAGGUGCCCAUAACCUUGGGCAUUUUAAAUAAAUGGCCAUUUUUGAAGUUCCGAUUUACCCUUUUGAGAUGGGAUAAUGACAGAGAAGUCACAAAUUUGCUAUGUCAUUCGGAUAAACACUAGCCAUGGGAUAUGAUUCUGUUUGACUGGAUACUUGACUUGAUGUUGGCUGGUACUUUGGUAUAAACAUGCAUUUCCUUGGUUAAUAGUGGUCUGUAUUUAUGUUCUCUCAUGGGCUUAAUCUUCUGCAUUACAUUGAUGUUAAAAAAAAGUUGCUUUAGAAUUUCCCUCGUUCUCAAAAUAGCUGUUUCAUUUUCUCUUUUGCAUUGUCCCAAAAUUUGGGACUUAUUUUAGAAUUAAUGGUCUAAAAUUUAUGGUUUUGUCUAAUAAUACCCUUUUACCCUUUUUAGGUGAAAGUUUUGGAAUGUUAACUUAAUUCUGUUGGCAACACCAUUAAGUUUACAAGUGUGAAUUUUCCUUUGUAACUCGGAAAAUCUGAAUUCUGAAAGAGACUUGAUAUGGAACCGAGGUAGUAAGUUUUGUACGUCUUCAAUA